GUUAAAGUGGCUGAGGUUAAGGCGGUAAAUUGUAAAUUUAUUUACGAGAAAAAUUCUCUUUUAACA
This 66-nucleotide transfer RNA is filed under the name Anthaxia chinensis. Its description in RNAcentral is "tRNA-Tyr". It matches the Rfam family "tRNA". Rfam says of the family: Transfer RNA (tRNA) molecules are approximately 80 nucleotides in length. Their secondary structure includes four short double-helical elements and three loops (D, anti-codon, and T loops). Further hydrogen bonds mediate the characteristic L-shaped molecular structure. tRNAs have two regions of fundamental functional importance: the anti-codon, which is responsible for specific mRNA codon recognition, and the 3' end, to which the tRNAs corresponding amino acid is attached (by aminoacyl-tRNA synthetases). tRNAs cope with the degeneracy of the genetic code in two manners: having more than one tRNA (with a specific anti-codon) for a particular amino acid; and 'wobble' base-pairing, i.e. permitting non-standard base-pairing at the 3rd anti-codon position. Lineage: Eukaryota; Metazoa; Arthropoda; Insecta; Coleoptera; Buprestidae. The record is from RNAcentral.